AAGUCGUAACAAGGUUUCCGUAGGUGAACCUGCGGAAGGAUCAUUAAUGAGAAACUGCCCCUCGCGGGUAGAUCUCCCACCCUUUGUAAACUUACCUUUGUUGCUUUGGCAGGCCCGUCUCCGGACCGCCGGCUUCGGCUGGCCAGCGCCUGCCAGAGGAUUCUAAAACUCUGUCUGUCAGUGUUGUCUGAGUCUAUAUACAAUCGUUAAAACUUUCAACAACGGAUCUCUUGGUUCUGGCAUCGAUGAGGAACGCAGCGAAAUGCGAUAAGUAAUGUGAAUUGCAGAAUUCAGUGAAUCAUCGAAUCUUUGAACGCACAUUGCGCCCGCCAGUAUUCUGGCGGGCAUGCCUGUUCGAGCGUCAUUUCAACCAUCAAGCCCUGCUUGUGUUGGGGUCCUGCGGCUGCCCGCAGGCCCUGAAAACCAGUGGCGGGCUCGCCUACACUCCGAGCGCAGUAAUACAUCUCGCUCUGGUCGUGAGGCGGGUUCCGGCCGUUAAACACCCCCCUUUUGCAAGGUUGACCUCGGAUCAGGUAGGAAUACCCGCUGAACUUAA
RNAcentral lists this ribosomal RNA (556 nucleotides) under uncultured fungus. RNAcentral describes it as "eukaryotic LSU rRNA". The stretch from base 211 to 364 matches the Rfam family "5.8S ribosomal RNA". Lineage: Eukaryota; Fungi. The record is from RNAcentral.